Molecule: long non-coding RNA, 4606 nt
Organism: Tachyglossus aculeatus (Australian echidna)
Lineage: Eukaryota; Metazoa; Chordata; Mammalia; Monotremata; Tachyglossidae
Exons: 3
Source: RefSeq, a predicted model, not a curated record
UAUAAAAUUAAUGUUUCAGUUUAUUUUUCAGAUUACAUGCCUUUCUUUAUUAAAGAGAUGCUGGCACAGCUCCUAAAAUAAGCUUUGUAGUACUGUACCUUUGAAGAGUGGUGGAGGAUGCUAAUGGAUAACCUUCCGAAAGUUGUGACUUUUGGUACCCUUACUGUGGGCAGUGCUUACUAGUAAAAUUGCUAAACAUUGUUUAGCGAGUAAUGUUGUUUAGGCUUCCACAACUGACUCUCUUCUAUCAAACAGCAGUGUUUCAAGUGUUUGUGAGCUCCUCAAAUUGACUUUCAAAAAAGUCUGUCUUUUGAGAUGCUUGUGCUAAACGAUAGCUCUUAGCUAAUUUUGAGUAUAAAUACUUUAAACUGGUGUAGCUUCCUGAAAGGGGGUGAUCUGAAAUUUACAGGGGUGGGAGAGGGAAAGGGAGAGAGAGGUUCUAGUCCACUGACCGGGCGUGGGGGAGGAGACUCAAAUCUGUUAAUGUGCAUUUUUUCCAGAACUUUUCUCAAUUACCUUUUCCCCUUGCCCCGAUCUCCCCCAUUUAACACUUGGAAGGAAAAAUAAUUUUAUUUUUCCUGGCCUCAUUUCCCAAAGUGGUUAGACCAGGGGGGACAUUGUUUUGGAUUGGGUUUUUGAGAGGAACACCAGUGGUACUUCAUUCAGUGCAAUUGAAUUCCCUAAUCCCAUUUUACCAGACCCCCUCCAAGAGAUCCUAAGCAAGCUUAAACUGUUUUUAUACACCGUCCACCGAAACCGUAAUCAUCUUUGCUCAGAUGGGGAAGCAUCCUUUUUAAAACUUCUCCCAAAAGGAACAGAGAAUCCACAGUUGUGUAGGUGCAUGAUGCUACCAAACACAAACUGAUGACAAUUUACCAAAAAAAAGGAGAAAGAAAACUGUAAAAAGUUUCGUCUGUGAGAUUUUCAAGAGGCUAUUUAGAUCUUGGCUUUUCCUUGGCAACCACCCGAUCGUGGUAGAAUAUUUUUUCUGGUGUUCGUGAGCCUGCGAUUAUGCACUUGAAAAGUAGUGGCCCGCUCCAUAACUGCAUUUAGCCAGCCUUUCUGCAGUGCGUAACUGUGAGGAACGUAGUACCGCAAAUGGCAAUGGACGUUAGGACCCGGAUGUAAUAUUCCUGCUUGCUCCAAGAUUCUCAUUGCCGACUGCAUCCAGGUAGGUAACAAGCGAUCUACUCUCAAUUGGUGACUUGCUAUGUACUUUUAUCCUUUGGGCAUUCUGACAUCACACUUCUGACGUUGAAAUUACAGUGCAGCACUCCGAAACUGGUGCGGUGAAGCUUAGCUUGCCUCUCAAGCCUGCGUGGGUUCUGGGUUAGAGCUUGUAACUUGCAAUUCUCAGACCAACUGCCAACCUGAUUCCCUUGUACGUCUGACUUCAGUCUUUGUGACUUCCUUUAGUUGCAUCGCAACUCUGAAGAGAAAACUGAACAACUUCAGUUUUUGUGGGGAAGAGGGAGCGUAAUUUGAGAGAUUCAUUACCAGCAUCAGGUGCUCACUGCACCCGGAUGCUAAUUUUCAGUUCGGGCUAGCUUUAGGAAGCAGUGAGCUGAUCCACCCACUGAUCAGCUCCGGGUAGAAAUUUCGGUGGACCACCUUGGUGUGAUGGUUUCUCUAGGAUGAGCGAAAUGAAGCUGUAUAGUUCACUGUAAUGUGCGGUUUUUUUAUUUGUUUGUUUACAGUGGGCUCCAUGGGCAUAGCACUCUUCCGUCAUGACUUGUGCUCAAAUGAGAAUCUGCUAACUUGAAGAGCAUUCAGGUUUUGUGAAUUACCCAAAUGUGUCUCUCUACCCUAUGGGGUUGAGGGCGGGGGAGGUGAUGGUGUGGCCUGCUCAAUUGCAUACAUGCCGGGAAGCGUGGCUUCCUAGCUUGUAAAACCUCGGCGCACUCUGUAGAGUGAAUGCGAAUAUUCUUCAGAGUGGCACUUGGAAUUCGGUUCAUGUAGUGGCAGGAACGUGAUGGUUCUAAACUCUUAUAUGACUGGAAGCAUACCUUACAUAGCCUAUUGUUUAGGAAGUUUGGACUCAAAAAGCUUUUGUAUCAGCUGUGUUCUGUUGCUCCAGAACUCCACUGUCUGAAGUCGUGACUUCAGUCUCCCGACUAAUGCAUAAGAAACAGGUUUCAUGUGUAAGUAAGGUUUCCUGCUUUGCAGCGGCAAAGUCAUGCCGACUUUGCUCGCUUACUGGUGAACAUUUGGUUGACUCUUCCACUGUAUUGUCUAGGAUAAUGGCCUGCUCCCAGGCGAACAGUUUUCAAGCCGGGGCAGACUGAUGUUCUGUCUAGUUCUUCCAGUAAAGUAAUUUCUGCACUUCUGGUACCUUUAAUGAAUGGCUUAGUUCACUUGAGUAAAUGACAUAAUGUAGCUUGUACUCUCUGCUCAAUAAGUGACAGUGAUGUCACUAAAAAUCUGACUCUGAACCACUGACCAGAGUCAUCCUGUGAAUAAAGUUAAUUAAAUCGGUGGCCAGAUGUCUGCUACCGUAUUUCAGCACUUGGACUUUUAGAAGUGUGAGCUCAGGGUUUUUUUGUUUUUGAUUUUGGUCUUGUUUUUGGAUUGUUUUUUUUUUCUUUUUGGGGGGAGGGGGUCAGGUAUGCUCAAAGAGCAUACAUCUGACCCCAAAAGACAAAUUUAAGGAGCACCUUGGAGGGGCAUGUAUGGUCACUUGGCUUUGUUCUGUGUACAAGCUGAUCAGGUUUAUUUCAGAACAAGCAACUUGGGGGUCUUGUAAACUAGCUUUCACUUGCCUGCAGCUGCGAAUCGUGAGUCUUAGUACAGUAGUUAUUUUUUGAAAGCAAAGGAGGUCUGCUCUUCACAUGUUGGAAAUGAAUGGGUUUCAGUAACGGAUUACUGAAGUGCUUGCAUUGUGUUUCAUAAUCUUGGUUUAUUUUUAACGUUGAAAUCAUGCUUUUUAAAAUUUAAAGUAUCAGAAACUCAGAGGUGUGAUGCCAGAAUGCAUUCGCGUACUUAGGCCCUCAGAUCAGAUACUGGUGCUGUCUGAAAAGAUGAACUGUAACUGUGCCAUUACUUGUACUCCAAACCAACGAAGUAUGCCUCAUGGUUGCAGUCCCUCAACAGUUAAAAAGAUGCGACUAGUUUGUUUUGGGUUCUUCUGGACUUCAGCCUUGACAGAGGUUUGCAUGUCUCCUGUUUGUUAAUCAUUGCUAGCUGCAGUGACAUGGGUUUUUCAAGACCUGUUGGUUACUUUUCCCUAAAUGCCACCCAAAAGACUGAGAGCCUGCUUGUGACACAUGAUGGUGUUCUCUGGGCAUCUUUUGUCUGGGUCUCAACUGGUGGGUUUGUUCCAUCAGCUAGUGCCUUUCUCAGCAGUGCCCUUCUAGUGACAAAUGGGCAGAUUGGCUACUCAUUUAUGUCAUUGCUGCUAGGUAAUGAUUGGCAAUUUAAAGACCUGACUGUGAACGUCCCUCCCUUCCCCUAACCCUCCCCCCCCAAAAAAAAACACACAUCCUUAUGUAUAAACCAUCACUUUGAACACCAGUGCUGACCUGUUUGGAGGUGAAAGGACUGAGGACAAUCUGGAGAGGGGAAGGCUGCACGAAGAUAUAGUAUCCCUUAUAGAUGGUACGUGUGCAACAGGGAACAUUUUAUGGUUGUACAGCAACUGGGAGUUGAGGCAGAUCUGGAGGAGCUGGGUUUAAGGCUGAACUUGGGCUUGUGCACCCCGGGCCUACCAGUAGUGUUGUGGAGAGGGGAUACCUUCCUGACAAGAAAGUCGGGUCUGCAAGUAGCUGCUAUUCUGGCAUGGUUUAUUUACCCUUCCAGUAUAAAAUUCUAAUGAGGACAAGGAAGGGAGAGUAGGCAUGACUGUGCAGGAGGAAGAGGCAACAGCUGCUGUGCUGUGGACUUCUUUAGAAUGGGGGUGAGGCUCUGGGCAGUAGACCUGUUGGGGCUUGGCCUUGGAAGAAGACCAUCUGGGAUUGGGAGGUGGGAAGAUGCUUUGGUUGGAAAGCAGAAGCCAAGAGUUGCCAAAGCCAAGCUUUUGUGGUAGGGUAAAUGUUGUCACCUACCCUCACAUAAGGGAUAGUAUAAUCUGGGCUGCAAUCAAACUUCAAUGUGCUCAGACUGGUGAAGCUCGCAGCUAAGGCUUUGGUAUUUAAAACGUAGGUGCAGGUCUUCCAAUUUAAAUCACCUGACUACUUUCAUGUCUUUCAUAGGAAUUUAUUUAAACUAGAUUCCUUCUGCCCCCCACCCCCGUAAGUUUCUUCCUCCUAUUUCCCUAUGCUGUAAUUCUCCCCUGAUUUAUUAAUGUGUGUUUUUUGAAUUUUACCCUUUAAACAUAAAGUGAUUAGCGCUUUUUCAGAACUCUGUUGCACCCAUGUCUUUUAUAAUAACUUUCCCUUGUUAUCCUUUAGGUAAGGAUGAUUGGUGUUGGCUGAAGUCAAAGUGCUCAUCCAUUUGAGUUAUGUAGCCCUUCGGCAUGAGCACACCCAGGAUGUGAACAUGUGGUGGCCCAGCCUACAAAGCAAGUAGAAUCAAGUGAACAGUGUUUUGGAGGUCCACGGAACCAGUCGGGAUGAACCAGAAGUGAUGAGCAUCCAGCUUAUUUUUAAUAAAAGAUAAAUUUCUGAAUCUA